UUGGCCAAAUUGUGGUCAAUCGUGAUUGCCAACCACGCAGAAAGGAGUAGGGUGUCCCUUCACGACAGGAUCACAUAGUUGGCGAUUGUGCGCUCUUUGCCUAGUAUUUGAUAAACUGAUUGAAUGAAAAUAGGACAAAUGAUGCACAAGCAGGGUUUGCAGUGGACUGGAAAGCUUUAAGGGUAGGACUUCAGAAGUGUUUUUUUUUUCAGACAGACAGACAGACUGAUUGACUGACUGACUGGGCUAUUCUUCAAAUUUCCUCCACAUCAAGAUUUCUAUCUGCACCAAUUUGUCACAGCUUGACACAAUUGUCCAUUUCAAAUCAGUUUAUCAUUUGAUCUGUUGGAGCCCAUCAGGAGAGGCGCGAGUGCAUCACAGAAUGACCGUCUUUAAGCAUACAUGGUGACAUUUGAAGUGACAAAGCACUCCAAGCAAGUGUGAAACCAGAUUCCUUCUAGGGGCCCCAUCAACUGUCACUCUGAGCCGGAGAUGAUUGACUCAGCGGGCACUUUCUCCAUUUGGAACAUGGUAUUCGUUACAAACACGGGCGUGUCAACCUUGAAGAGAAUGGGACAACCAGAGACACCAGUCCGGGAACUUUUCUGACACACCUCGCCGCUGCCAUCACAAUGCUGUCAACUGCUUCUCUCUUCUUUGGAUUCUCCAAUCACACACAAUUCCAUCCUCAUUCCUUCUCUCCGCCUUGAGUCUUCACUUACACAAACAACUAGAAAAAAGGGGGGCAGGGGCAGGGGGUUCUGUCUGAGCGAUGCAGUGUGGAUGUAUGAGCGCACGGCCUUGUUCUUGAACCGCCGUGAAACGUUGCCCCUCCAAAAAGGCAGCACUCGCCAUAAUUCCACUGUGACUGAAACUAUGUCUCGUGAUUUCGUGCAUGCUUAGCUGAGGUAAUCAAUCUCUUUGAAGUAGUGGCCUGUCUCAUUUGGAAACCAAAUAAAUGGACAAUUUCA
Phyllopteryx taeniolatus (common seadragon) is the source of this 971-nucleotide long non-coding RNA. RefSeq lists it as uncharacterized. The record is from RefSeq and is a predicted model, not a curated record. The transcript is spliced from 3 exons. NCBI's taxonomy places the organism in Eukaryota, Metazoa, Chordata, Actinopteri, Syngnathiformes, Syngnathidae.